GAUGAAGAACGUAGCGAAAUGCGAUAAGUAAUGUGAAUUGCAGAAUUCAGUGAAUCAUCGAAUCUUUGAACGCACAUUGCGCCCGGCAGUAAUCUGCCGGGCAUGCCUGUCCGAGCGUCAUUUCUGCCCUCGAGCGAGUCCAGCAUCUAGGUGCUGGGCCCGCCCGGCGUUGGGGCACUACGGGAAGCCCUGUGCUGUCCCCCGUAGGCCCCGAAAUGAAGUGGCGGUCCUGCCGCGGCGCCCCCUGCGUAGUAUAACAGCUCGCUUCGGGACCCGGUGGAGGCCUGCCGUCAAACCUUACUCUCUAAGUUUGACCUCGGAUCAGGUAGGGUUACCCGCUGAACUUAAGCAUAUCAAUAGCGGAGGA
Molecule: unclassified non-coding RNA, 367 nt
Filed under: soil metagenome
Description: partial contains 5.8S ribosomal RNA, internal transcribed spacer 2, and large subunit ribosomal RNA
Rfam family: 5.8S ribosomal RNA (bases 1-120)
Source: RNAcentral